UCAUUCUUAGGUAUUCUCCUUGCCUUUUUCCAGGGAUGACGCUGUGUUUCAGAGGAAUUCAUAAGCAGAAUUGAAUUUGUUUUAGUUAACUCCUUAUUUGAUUGGAAUAUUGUCGACUUAACAAAAUAGUAGAAAGAGCAUUGGGCUGAAGUGAGAAGAUUUGAAUUCUAGUCCAAAAUCUGUUACUAACCAGCUCUUUGACCCUGAGAAGUCAUUUGACUUGAAUUAUAGUCUUUUUCUUAUAUGGGAAAGGUGGAGUAUACUCAGAGUCUCUCCUAAGUGCUAAGAUUCUGUGAUUCUAUGAAAUCAGACCAUCAGAGAGGAAUACUGCAGUGUUCUCCUGCAUGGGUUGUAAAUGAGAAAAAAGAAAGAAGGAGAGCAAAAUGACUUAAAGACAUUUUCAAGAAAAAAAGAGGAGAGAAGUCACUGAAAUGGAAAAAUAAACAUAUUAUAUAACUAUUUAUUGCACUAUGCAAUAAAAACAUCUUCAGCAACAGCCACACAAGUGCGGGUAGAGGGUCUGCUUUGAAGAGAGAAAAAAGGCUGCUGCAGAAAAAACAAACCUCAAUUCAUAAUUGGAGCUUUUGUUCUUUCUGGAUUGUUUUGUGAAGAACAUGCUGCCAAAAAACAUUUUUCUUCUGUAACCGCUUCUUUUGAAACUCCAUUCUUUUUUAUUUCAAGGAUGUUUAUUAUCUACUCAUUUCUUUUUAUUUAUUUUUGAAUCAUAUACCCCAAUGUCUAGAUGACUGGGACCACUAGGUUUCAUAUUUCCCAGAUGAGAUUAGUUGUACAGUUCAUUUUGCAGGUUUAUUCAGAGCAUUUCAAUGGCAUUUCACCUACAGUUCACCUAUAUUGAGUCCUAAGAAAUUGAAGGUGUUUCUUGAUAGUUCUCCUGCUCCAUCUUCUUCCAGGGGAUUGAUUUGGCUUCUUAUGUUUUUGUAUUUGGUUGCUCAUUAGAGAUAAGCCUGAUUAUUUGGCAUUGUGUAUUUUCUCUGUUUUAAAAAGGGAAAAUACAACAUGUUAUUAAUUAUUAUGAUAUAAUAAAAAAUGGAGAGAAGGAAAA
This 1063-nucleotide long non-coding RNA is filed under the name Homo sapiens (human). RNAcentral describes it as "HSALNT0326718". The record is from RNAcentral. Lineage: Eukaryota; Metazoa; Chordata; Mammalia; Primates; Hominidae.